GACAGCAGUCGCCGCGGGAAUACAGAGGGUGCGAGCGUUAAUCGGAUUUACUGGGCGUAAAGCGUGCGUAGGCGGCUUUUUAAGUCGGAUGUGAAAUCCCUGAGCUUAACUUAGGAAUUGCAUUCGAUACUGGGAAGCUAGAGUAUGGGAGAGGAUGGUAGAAUUCCAGGUGUAGCGGUGAAAUGCGUAGAGAUCUGGAGGAAUACCGAUGGCGAAGGCAGCCAUCUGGCCUAAUACUGACGCUGAGGUACGAAAGCAUGGGGAGCAAACAGGAUUAGAUACCCGUGUAGUCCCUGUCUCUUAUAC
RNAcentral lists this ribosomal RNA (306 nucleotides) under uncultured bacterium. RNAcentral's name for it is "partial 16S ribosomal RNA". It matches the Rfam family "Bacterial small subunit ribosomal RNA", at positions 507 to 807 of the family's 1533-position model. The record is from RNAcentral.